UAUUGGACAAUGGGCGCAAGCCUGAUCCAGCCAUGCCGCGUGAGUGGUGAAGGCCUCCCGCCCUGUAAAGCUCUUUUGCCGGGGACGAUAAUGACGGUACCCGGAGAAUAAGUCCCGGCUAACUUCGUGCCAGCAGCCGCGGUAAUACGAAGGGGACUAGCGUUGUUCGGAAUCACUGGGCGUAAAGCGCACGUAGGCGGAUUUGUAAGUCAGGGGUGAAAUCCCGGGGCUCAACCUCGGAACUCCCUUUGAUACUGCGAAUCUUGAGUCCGAUAGAGGUGGGUGGAAUUCCUAGUGUAGAGGUGAAAUUCGUAGAUAUUAGGAAGAACACCGGUGGCGAAGGCGGCCCACUGGAUCGGUACUGACGCUGAGGUGCGAAAG
RNAcentral lists this ribosomal RNA (381 nucleotides) under uncultured bacterium. Its description in RNAcentral is "bacterial SSU rRNA". It matches the Rfam family "Bacterial small subunit ribosomal RNA", at positions 362 to 759 of the family's 1533-position model. The record is from RNAcentral.